GACGAACGCUGGCGGCGUGCCUAAUACAUGCAAGUAGAACGCACAGGAUGCACCGUAGUUUACUACACCGUAUUCUGUGAGUUGCGAACGGGUGAGUAACGCGUAGGUAACCUGCCUGGUAGCGGGGGAUAACUAUUAGAAACGAUAGCUAAUACCGCAUAAGAACAUUUACUGCAUGGUAGAUGUUUAAAAGGUGCAAAUGCAUCACUACCAGAUGGACCUGCGUUGUAUUAGCUAGGAGGUGAGGUAACGGCUCACCUAGGCGACGAUACAUAGCCGACCUGAGAGGGUGAUCGGCCACACUGGGACUGAGACACGGCCCAGACUCCUACGGGAGGCAGCAGUAGGGAAUCUUCGGCAAUGGGGGGAACCCUGACCGAGCAACGCCGCGUGAGUGAAGAAGGUUUUCGGAUCGUAAAGCUCUGUUGUUAAGGAAGAACGAGUGUGAGAAUGGAAAGUUCAUACUGUGACGGACUAACCAGAAAGG
This 487-nucleotide ribosomal RNA is filed under the name Streptococcus intermedius. Its description in RNAcentral is "bacterial SSU rRNA". It matches the Rfam family "Bacterial small subunit ribosomal RNA", at positions 28 to 491 of the family's 1533-position model. Lineage: Bacteria; Bacillati; Bacillota; Bacilli; Lactobacillales; Streptococcaceae. The record is from RNAcentral.